Molecule: ribosomal RNA, 497 nt
Filed under: uncultured bacterium
Lineage: Bacteria
Description: partial 16S ribosomal RNA
Rfam family: Bacterial small subunit ribosomal RNA
Source: RNAcentral
GAUGAACGCUGGCGGCGUGCCUAAUACAUGCAAGUCGAGCGAACAGACGAGGAGCUUGCUCCUUUGCCGUUAGCGGCGGACGGGUGAGUAACACGUAGGUAACCUACCUAUAAGACUGGGAUAACUUCGGGAAACCGGAGCUAAUACCGGAUAAUAUUUCGAACCGCAUGGUUCGAUAGUGAAAGAUGGCUUUGCUGUCACUUAUAGACGGACCUGCGCCGUAUUAGCUAGUUGGUAAGGUAACGGCUUACCAAGGCAACGAUCCGUAGCCGACCUGAGAGGGUGAUCGGCCACACUGGAACUGAGACACGGUCCAGACUCCUACGGGAGGCAGCAGUAGGGAAUAUUCCGCAAUGGGCGAAGGCCUGACGGAGCAACGCCGCGUGAGUGAUGAAGGUCUUCGGAUCGUAAAACUCUGUUAUUAGGGAAGAACAAACGUGUAAGUAACUGUGCACGUCUUGACGGUACCUAAUCAGAAAGCCACGGCUAACUACGUG